GGGGAAUAUUGCACAAUGGGCGCAAGCCUGAUGCAGCGACGCCGCGUGAGGGAUGACGGCCUUCGGGUUGUAAACCUCUUUCAGUAUGGAACAAGGAUCCUUCUUUUGGGGGGUUUGAGGGUACGUGCAGAAGAAGCGCCGGCUAACUACGUGCCAGCAGCCGCGGUAAUACGUAGGGCGCGAGCGUUGUCCGGAUUUAUUGGGCGUAAAGAGCUCGUAGGCGGUUUGUCGCGUCUGCCGUGAAAUUUCCUGGCUUAACUGGGAGCGUGCGGUGGGUACGGGCAGACUGGAGUGCGGUAGGGGAGACUGGAAUUCCUGGUGUAGCGGUGGAAUGCGCAGAUAUCAGGAGGAACACCGGUGGCGAAGGCGGGUCUCUGGGCCGUUACUGACGCUGAGGAGCGAAAGCAUGGGGAGCGAAC
Molecule: ribosomal RNA, 419 nt
Filed under: uncultured bacterium
Lineage: Bacteria
Description: bacterial SSU rRNA
Rfam family: Bacterial small subunit ribosomal RNA
Source: RNAcentral